Molecule: long non-coding RNA, 969 nt
Organism: Xiphophorus hellerii (green swordtail)
Lineage: Eukaryota; Metazoa; Chordata; Actinopteri; Cyprinodontiformes; Poeciliidae
Exons: 2
Source: RefSeq, a predicted model, not a curated record
UGAGGACUCAGCUUUAAUUAAUGACCAGAUGUGGGUUAUCAUCAGUCUAGUAACACAGUUUUCUUCUUUGUUCUGAUAAAUUAGGUCAAUCAAUGUCAACGACGAUCAUCAUCAAGCUGACUCUAUUCAUCCUGAUUUCUCUGCUUGUCCUGAUUAUUUCUUUAAGAACACUGAGAACUAUGAAAAUGAACAGAAAACUAACUGAACCAAUAGAAAUGGAGGUGAGAAGGACUAGUGAGGUCACAUAGUGAAUAUUCAUUGAUCUGAAUUUAACCAAUCAGCUCAGGAUUACAUGAUGACAUGUUUCUGUUUUUGGUUCAUUGUUGUUAUUCAGGUACUGUAAAUGCAUAUUUUAGAAAAAACAGCAGGUUUUAAACAAAACUAUGAAUGUGCAGUGCUGGAUUUCAACAAAAUAAAAAGUAGAAACAGGCAAACAUAAAAUCAACAAACAACGAACCAAAUACUGUUUGUACAUAUUGAGUCUCUGAGUUAUAAAGACUGCAGGUAGUGAGAAGAAUUGUAAACUGUUAUGAAAUGUUAAAGAAUCACAACAAUACCAGCUUGUGCUGCAUAAAGAAGCUGAAAGGUCAGAGGUCAGCCCUCUGUCCUUCAGACUAUUUGGAUGCAGCUGCUUCAGUUCACGUCCAGCAGAGGUCACAGAGAAGAUUCACCUGGAACCAGUCAAGGUCAACCAUGGAGGAGUCAUGAACCCAGUUUACCACGACCCGUAACCAAGGAGACGGUUGGAGUGAAACCAGAAGAAGCAGAGAGGAAGUCCAUAUAAGGUUGUAACAGAGCGCAGCAUCAACACCUGCAGAGACUGUACUCUCCUACUGUAUUUUAAUAUCUUCAUAUCUAAUCCCUAAUUAUAUGUUGGUCAUGUUUAUCUGCUCAUAUUAAAGCUUAGAACGUUGAUAAAAAUAUGGUUUUGUUGGUUGUUGCUUUAAUUAAAGUUUGUUUUGAAGUGUU